GCGGGUGAAAUACCCGCACGCCGUAAGACUAAGGUUUCCUGGAUCCAUGUUAAUCAGAACAGGGUUAGUCGGGGCCUAAGGAAAAGCCGCAAGGCGGAUCCGAUGGGAAAUCGGUUAAUAUUCCGAUACCUCUAAAUAUUUCGAAGCGGGGACGAAGGAGCGUAAGGCAUGCGUACUGACUGAAUAGUACGUUAAAGGCCAUAGGCGUUGAGGAUAAUAGUUAAGUACGUUAUCCGAGCUGAAAGCUGAUAGUACUGAUUACUCUUCGGAGUAAUUAGAUAAUUGCCCCAAGCAGGCUUCCGAGAAAAGCCGCUAAGGUUAGGUAUUUAGAGCCCGUACCGUAAACCGACACAGGUAGUCGAGGAGAGUAUCCUAAGGCGCUCUAGUGAUUCGUGGCUAAGGAACUAGGCAAAAUAGGCUCGUAACUUCGGGAGAAGAGUCCCCUGAGUAAUCAGGGCGCAGUGAAGAGGCCCAGGCAACUGUUUAACAAAAACACAGGACUCUGCUAAAUCGAAAGAUGAUGUAUAGGGUCUGACACCUGCCCGGUGCUGGAAGGUUAAGGAAGGGGGUUAGUCGCAAGGCGAAGCUCUUAACUGAAGCCCCAGUAAACGGCGGCCGUAACUAUAACGGUCCUAAGGUAGCGAAAUUCCUUGUCGGGUAAGUUCCGACCUGCACGAAUGGUGUAAUGAUAUGGGCACUGUCUCAGCCACGAGCUCGGUGAAAUUGAAGUAUCGGUGAAGAUACCGAUUACCCGCAACGGGACGGAAAGACCCCGUGAACCUUUACUAUAGCUUAACAUUGUGUUUGGUUGUAUGAUGUGUAGGAUAGGUGGGAGACUUUGAAGUGGUUACGCUAGUAGUCAUGGAGUCGUCGUUGAAAUACCACCCUUUAUGCAAUUAGAUUCUAACCGUGCACCGCGUGGGACAUUGUUUGGUGGGUAGUUUGACUGGGGUGGUCGCCUCCAAAAGAGUAACGGAGGCUCGCAAAGGUACCCUCAGCAUGGUCGGUAAUCAUGCGCAGAGCGUAUUAGUACAAGGGUGCUUGACUGGGAGACGGACGCGUCGAGCAGGUACGAAAGUAGGCUAAAGUGAUCCGGUGGUUCCGUAUGGAAGGGCCAUCGCUCAAAGGAUAAAAGGUACUCCGGGAUAACAGGCUGAUCUCCCCCAAGAGCUCAUAUCGACGGGGAGGUUUGGCACCUCGAUGUCGGCUCGUCACAUCCUGGGGCUGGAGAAGGUCCCAAGGGUUCGGCUGUUCGCCGAUUAAGGUGGCACGCGAGCUGGGUUCAGAACGUCGCAAGACAGUUCGGUCCCUAUCUGUUGUGGGCGUAGGAAUAUUGAAGGGCUCUGACUCUAGUACGGGAGGACCGAGUUGGACGAACCUCUAGUGUAUCAGUUGUGCCGCCAGGUGCAGUGCUGAGUAGCUACGUUCGGUGUGGAUAAGCGCUGAAAGCAUCUAAGCGCGAAGCCCUCCCUAAGAUGAGUAUUCCAGCGAGGCAACUCGCGAAGGGACGUGGAAGAUGACCACGUUGAUAGGCUAUAGAUGGAAGCGUAGUGAUACGUGUAGUCGAGUAGUACUAAUUACCCAAUAACUUCC
RNAcentral lists this ribosomal RNA (1593 nucleotides) under metagenome. RNAcentral's name for it is "bacterial LSU rRNA". It matches the Rfam family "Bacterial large subunit ribosomal RNA", at positions 1317 to 2925 of the family's 2925-position model. The record is from RNAcentral.